This 373-nucleotide long non-coding RNA is filed under the name Elaeis guineensis (African oil palm). Its description in RNAcentral is "long non-coding RNA (EGUI_LNC009281)". The record is from RNAcentral. Lineage: Eukaryota; Viridiplantae; Streptophyta; Magnoliopsida; Arecales; Arecaceae.
CCCCCAUGACACAAACAUAUAUUAUGCUCCACAAACAAACCAAGGAUGUAUAUAAUUGAAGAAGGCCAAGGUUACCAACGAAAGACGAGAGAAAAAAGAAAGAUCAAACAAUGCCUUCAACCUCUCCUGUUACCAACCAUAUCAAUAUCAGCGAUUUCUAAAAACUCCACUGAUAAAACCAAUUAUCAUAACCUUAAUCCAGCUUACACCAAACAAACACAAAAAUCAACAAUUCUUCUUUAAAAGUCCAAUCCAUCUAUUAGCCAAAUAUAAAUAUAAAAAUUAACAAUAAUAAGAAAAUAUAGGAAAACCCACCUUCAUUUACCUUGAAGACAAUGCCCAAAAAACAGACCAGAAGAGUGGUCAUUAAGUC